GAGUUUGAUCUUGGCUCAGAACGAACGCUGGCGGCAGGCUUAACACAUGCAAGUCGAACGCGUGUAGCAAUACACGAGUGGCGCACGGGUGAGUAACGCGUAUGCAAUCUGCCUUUUACAGAGGGAUAGCCCAGAGAAAUUUGGAUUAAUACCUCAUAGUAUUAUGAAUCGGCAUCGAUUUAUAAUUAAAGUUCCAACGGUAAAGAUGAGCAUGCGUCCCAUUAGCUAGAUGGUAAGGUAACGGCUUACCAUGGCGACGAUGGGUAGGGGUCCUGAGAGGGAGAUCCCCCACACUGGUACUGAGACACGGACCAGACUCCUACGGGAGGCAGCAGUGAGGAAUAUUGGUCAAUGGGCGCAAGCCUGAACCAGCCAUGCCGCGUGCAGGAUGACGGUCCCUAUGGAUUGUAAACUGCUUUUUGACAGGAAGAAACACUCCUACGUGUAGGAACUUGACGGUACUGUAAGAAUAAGGAUCGGCUAAC
RNAcentral lists this ribosomal RNA (485 nucleotides) under uncultured Flavobacterium sp. RNAcentral's name for it is "bacterial SSU rRNA". It matches the Rfam family "Bacterial small subunit ribosomal RNA", at positions 9 to 501 of the family's 1533-position model. The record is from RNAcentral. Lineage: Bacteria; Pseudomonadati; Bacteroidota; Flavobacteriia; Flavobacteriales; Flavobacteriaceae.